RNAcentral lists this ribosomal RNA (459 nucleotides) under uncultured bacterium. RNAcentral describes it as "partial 16S ribosomal RNA". It matches the Rfam family "Bacterial small subunit ribosomal RNA", at positions 338 to 795 of the family's 1533-position model. The record is from RNAcentral.
CCUACGGGAGGCAGCAGUGAGGAAUCUUGGUCAAUGGGAGAGAUCCUGAACCAGCCAAGCCGCGUGCGGGAAGAAGGUCCUAUGGGUUGUAAACCUCUUUUGUCGGAGAACAAAACCUGGGACGUGUCCCCGACUGCGUGUAUCUGAAGAAAAAGCAUCGGCUAACUCCGUGCCAGCAGCCGCGGUAAUACGGAGGAUGCGAGCGUUAUCCGGAUUUCUUGGGUUUAAAGGGUGCGAAGGCGGUCCGGUAAGUCAGCGGUAAAAUUGCGGGGCUCAACCCCGUCGCGCCGUUGAAACUGGGUGACUUGAGUGGGCGAGAAGUACGCGGAAUGCGCGGUGUAGCGGUGAAAUGCAUAGAUAUCGCGCAGAACUCCGAUUGCGAAGGCAGCGUACCGGCGCCAAACUGACGCUGAGGCACGAAAGCGUGGGGAUCGAACAGGAUUAGAUACCCUAGUAGUC